Non-coding RNA from Mycena vulgaris, 96 nucleotides. Lineage: Eukaryota; Fungi; Basidiomycota; Agaricomycetes; Agaricales; Mycenaceae. The record is from the annotation of a GenBank genome assembly.
GGCAUCGUAGCUCAGUUGGGAGAGCAGCAGAUUCAACUGUUAUUUUUCCCUUGUAGGGUUAUCUGAAGGUCCUGUGUUCGAUUCACAGUGAUGCCG